Molecule: long non-coding RNA, 99 nt
Filed under: Nannospalax galili (Upper Galilee mountains blind mole rat)
Lineage: Eukaryota; Metazoa; Chordata; Mammalia; Rodentia; Spalacidae
Description: MEST intronic transcript 1, antisense RNA conserved region 3 (ENSNGAG00000004555.1)
Rfam family: MEST intronic transcript 1, antisense RNA conserved region 3
Source: RNAcentral
UGGGUAGACUGUUCAGUGGCCUUCCGAAUGAGAUCCUUUGUGGGUCAUUCAGUCCAUGAAUUAGAAAAUUGCCUUCGUCUUGGAUGCUUGUACUUCUGG